CCAGACUCCUACGGGAGGCAGCAGUGGGGAAUAUUGCACAAUGGGGGAAACCCUGAUGCAGCGACGCCGCGUGAGUGAGGAAGUAUUUCGGUAUGUAAAGCUCUAUCAGCAGGGAAGAAAAAAUGACGGUACCUGACUAAGAAGCACCGGCUAAAUACGUGCCAGCAGCCGCGGUAAUACGUAUGGUGCAAGCGUUAUCCGGAUUUACUGGGUGUAAAGGGAGCGCAGGCGGUACGGCAAGUCUGAUGUGAAAUACCGGGGCUCAACCCCGGGGCUGCAUUGGAAACUGGCAGGCUGGAGUGCCGGAGAGGCAGGCGGAAUUCCUAGUGUAGCGGUGAAAUGCGUAGAUAUUAGGAGGAACACCAGUGGCGAAGGCGGCCUGCUGGACGGUGACUGACGCUGAGGCUCGAAAGCGUGGGGAGCAAACAGGAUUAGAUACCCCCGUA
Molecule: ribosomal RNA, 446 nt
Filed under: uncultured bacterium
Lineage: Bacteria
Description: bacterial SSU rRNA
Rfam family: Bacterial small subunit ribosomal RNA
Source: RNAcentral